GUAGGUGGCAAGCGUUGUCCGGAAUUAUUGGGCGUAAAGUGCGCGCAGGCGGUUCUUUAAGUCUGAUGUGAAAGCCCACGGCUCAACCGUGGAGGGUCAUUGGAAACUGGAGAACUUGAGUACAGAAGAGGAAAGCGGAAUUCCACGUGUAGCGGUGAAAUGCGUAGAGAUGUGGAGGAACACCAGUGGCGAAGGCGGCUUUCUGGUCUGUAACUGACGCUGAGGCGCGAAAGCGUGGGGAGCAAACAGGGAUUAGAUACCCUGGUAGUCCACGCCGUAAACGAUGAGUGCUAAGUGUUAGGGGGUUUCCGCCCCCUUAGUGCUGCAGCUAACGCAUUAAGCACUCCGCCUGGGGAGUACGGCCGCAAGGCUG
This 373-nucleotide ribosomal RNA is filed under the name uncultured organism. RNAcentral's name for it is "partial 16S ribosomal RNA". It matches the Rfam family "Bacterial small subunit ribosomal RNA", at positions 527 to 896 of the family's 1533-position model. The record is from RNAcentral.